GUGGAAAAAGCAGCGAAGUCUUUAAACCCAUUGUGACGCAAUGAAUUUAUUUGAAAUUUCUCCACUUAUUGAUCAGGUCAAAAAUACCCUUCCUCAUGCUAGCGCAGAAGGUUAGGUGUCUAGUGCCCUUGGAAUAAAUUUUUAUUCCAUGUCCAUGUAGUUUGUGUAAUUUUAGUCCAUGGAACCUUUUAGUGAAACCCUAGCUGCUUGCUACUCCACUCCUAUAUAAUGUUCUUUUCUGGUGGGUGAGGUAACAAGGAUUGGUGUGGCCUUUCUAUUUCAUGAUUGGUUACAGAGAUGGGAAGAAGAGGGCAAGGGAGAGGAGUUACAGGAAACUAUGGGGAUGGGAUGGUUGGGAAGAAGACAAUUGUUCCUUUUGUUUUCACUUUCUGAAAGAGUGUGGAAACCUUAAAUCUUCUUUCCGAGCCCUCCCAUUCCUGUGAUUUCCGGAUUUUCCUCCUUUUCUCCUCCUUUCAACAGACUUAUAUCUGAGAAGUGUAAGAAGAAAUCAUCUAAGAAGGCAAGGGAGAUGUAAACUACAGUAACUCUUUUGAUGGGUGGGGGGAUCUCAAGGAGACGAAGAAAGAGAAUCUCUCUUUCUCUCUCUCUCUCUCUCUCUCACACACACACACACACAUACGCACACAGAGGAAUCCCAGUCUUCUAAGUUAUGCUUUCUUACAUUUACAGAGAAAGUCAGGCGUUCCAAAAUCAUUUUUGCUACUUUUCCAUUUUGUUUUGGAACACCUGACUCUUGCUGUUAAUGGGGUUUAUUAUUUAUAUAUUAUGAAGGGGAGGGAUAGGGUAUUGUUCUAAGAGGUUGAAAGGGCUGGAAACUCUGUUUUUUCUACUGGUCAGGGUAACAAAAACUUGAAGAUAAUCAAGAAUGGAUCUCUUAGAUUUUUAAGUUCUUGGUUUCAAUGAAGUGGGUUUCUGUGAUAAUCUUGUUAUUUUGGAGCUUGGACUGAUAAUUGAGUGGAAAAUGUGGUGAAAAGGAACAGGUGAACAGAAGAGGAGUUGCAAGGAUGGAUGGAUAGGGAGGUACAUGAUGUGUUGCGAUCUUAGUUGAGCCCUAUCAUUUUCUGAAGGAAGAGACCUAUUCUAUCAUGUGUUAAGUCUAAUAUUUUUUUUGUGCAAAGAUCAAUUUAUGUUAGUCUUAUUGACAGAUUACCAUUAUGUGGCUCCACGAUCUUUGUUUGUAUCAGAGAGACAGAGCCUAUUGGCUGUGUACACUGUACGCAUACUUAUCAUUACAAAAUUUCCAUCAUACAAAUGAAAGAUAAUAAAACUCUCAAAAUGCUAAUAA
This is a long non-coding RNA of Macadamia integrifolia, 1306 nucleotides long. RefSeq lists it as uncharacterized. The transcript is spliced from 2 exons. The record is from RefSeq and is a predicted model, not a curated record. NCBI's taxonomy places the organism in Eukaryota, Viridiplantae, Streptophyta, Magnoliopsida, Proteales, Proteaceae.